UCGUUCAUGAGAUCACGAAACCCACCGGACCGAUUGAAAAAAACACCACACCCCACCCGCUGCCCCGAUCCCCACCUCCUCCCUCGAUCCACUCCCCGCCGAAUGCCAGAUCUCGCCGCCGCCUCGUCCCCAAACCUCCGCCGGGGCCUCCUCUUUCCCCAACCGCAACCUCUGCUCCCCUGAGCCCCUCAUCCCGCCGCCGUCCUCUGAUCCCGCCGCCGCGCGCCUUCCCCUGAACCCCACGCCGCGCGCGCCCUCCCAGGAACGCCCCGCCGCCACGAGCCCUCCCGGGAACCCCCGCCGCCGCGCACCCUCCCCGGAACCACCGCCCUCCUCAAAUCCCAUCGCUAGUGCCGCCGCCCUCCCCGGAUCACCCAGCCACCGCCAUCUCCCUCCCUGGUCGCGCCGCCGCCACUCUUUCCCUCCCCAAAUAGCAUCGCAACCACCACCUCUGGCCUCUCCUGCAUCGCGCCCAUGCUCCUCUACCUACGGGCGCGGCUCUGCCCCGCAACCAUCGCCGUCGACGAAGCCCGACAACCAUUAGCCUGGGCACCCUCCCUCCCGCCCGCUUGCUCCGACGCGGAUCCGGACAACCCCGCAACCCUCCCCUCCGGUGAGCCUCCUCUUCUCCUUCUCUACCUCCGGCGUCCCACCCCUUCCCCCACCUCCCCGACCUUCACUGGUUGCCUAGACAGGACUGCCCUUGCCAUUGGGCGCGACCAGUGCCCGUACUUCGCCCACGACCAAGCCACUGCGCUCAUCUUCAGUUCCGCGUCACCCAGUUGCAUAACAGUAGCGGUUCAGGAAAGGAUGCAGGCUUCCACACGAUGCCUGAAAAAUGCCACUUUCCAAAUCUCGUCUCCGUCCGAGCACGAAGCCGCUGCUGCCCGUCAGUGCUUGGUGCACCAGGAGAAGUUCGUCACCUCACUUGCGAGCAGUCCAUCUAUCGCCUCCUGUGCAAGCACUCCAUCACCUCACACAGUGUCCGUUCGACAGAGUUUGUCCUUUUGAAGAAGCGGAAAAUGGAGUUUGAAGCGGCCGCGGGCGGGUGGUGGUGUGGUUGCAGAAGAAGAAACGCUGGUGCGAACUCGUCCAUCCGGCGCUAGUAUACCAGUAUGAUUUGGAGGCGAAGAAUUUUUUGUGUCUCUUACCAUGAAUCUGUGUAGCUAUGGAAACUUGGCUUCCUGUAAAAUUUUAAGAUAUAUCGCUAGCACUUUGUUCCCCAAGUGUGUUUGCAUUAAUGCGUGAGAGGAAACUAUUCUGGGCCUAUGCUUUGCACUGCUACGUACUCCGACAUAGUUUGAAUGUAGUUUUGGAGUCCAAUAUGGCUCUAGGUUGAAGUUUGAUACAUUGCACGUGAUUGAUGUAUAUUAUAUCCUACUACAAAUGCAUAACACUUCUUGUCCGAUUAUA
RNA transcript from Triticum aestivum (bread wheat), 1413 nucleotides. RefSeq lists it as uncharacterized. The transcript is spliced from 2 exons. NCBI's taxonomy places the organism in Eukaryota, Viridiplantae, Streptophyta, Magnoliopsida, Poales, Poaceae. The record is from RefSeq and is a predicted model, not a curated record.